Mesocricetus auratus (golden hamster) is the source of this 485-nucleotide long non-coding RNA. RefSeq lists it as uncharacterized. The record is from RefSeq and is a predicted model, not a curated record. The transcript is spliced from 3 exons. NCBI's taxonomy places the organism in Eukaryota, Metazoa, Chordata, Mammalia, Rodentia, Cricetidae.
ACGUGGACCAGCUGUUGACGCCUGGCCACACUGUCACUGGCCACACUCCCUGUGAGGACUUUACCCAGGAGCUCUGAUAGACCUCUGCUGGAGUCCUCUACCCAGAGUCCUCUACCUUCUUUGACCCCCUCAUCCUGCCUCUUCUCUGGACCUCAGCUUCUCCUGGGCAUCUUCCUCCUUCAUCUGCCAAUGUGGGCAGAAGAGCCCCAGGACAUGUUUGCUGCUGUGCACUAAAAGAAUAAAGUCUGUGCCAGGCGGUGGUGGUGCACACCUUUUAUCCCAGCACUCAGGAGGCAGAGGCAGGCGGAUCUCUGUGAGUUCAAGGGUCCCCUGGUCAACCAGACACACAGAACUGCUCCUAUCCCCCAAGGAGGUCACAGAGUGGCUCCAUCUGGACUGCGUGAAGGCUGAGCCGCUCCUCAGACUAUGGGGUCGGGUUACUGGGAAAUCUGUUCAAAUAGCGCAUUAUAGUUUUAUGAAUCCGG